RNAcentral lists this long non-coding RNA (1026 nucleotides) under Calidris pugnax (ruff). RNAcentral's name for it is "lncRNA (ENSCPUG00000009596.1)". Lineage: Eukaryota; Metazoa; Chordata; Aves; Charadriiformes; Scolopacidae. The record is from RNAcentral.
GAAAGAAAUAUACCCCAAAUUUCGGGUCAAUACCCAGCGAUCUCUCCUGGGCGAGGAGAGAUCCCGCACGGCGAGGGGGGGGGGGGGGGAGGGGGGGGGAGUGGGGCCCCCCACCUCCGCAGGUUUUUUUUUUUUUUUUUUUUUUUUUUUUUUUCCGUUCAAGGGAAGAGUGACGAUAACAACAACAACAAAGCCCCUCUCCGUCGCACCGCUCUCUCUUCCCCAGCCUUUCCCCAACCCCUCGAAGCCGUCGGGGGCCGCUCGGAGGGUUGUUCCCGGGCGGAUAACGCAGCGAGCACCGGUGAUGCCGCCGGUAGAGGAGGGCCAGGAGGCAGCACAUGAGCCGGGACGAAGGAGCAGCCGGAAAAUCCGCAUCCCCGCCUCCAAGGAUUUCCUACCGCGAGGAGGAGGAGAAGAGGCGAAAAGAAGGAGGAAGCGAGACUUUUACUGGGGGAGGGAGCUCGGGGAGUGAGCGGGAGCCCGUGUGCCUGCCUCCUGCCCUACACGCGAGUGAAAGUCCCACUGUGGUGAUGGGAGCUGCGCUGGUGGGAUAUUUCUCUGCGAAGAAGGAAAAGAUCCUCCUCUUCCCUACCCCGGAGAAGUGCUGUUCCAUGGGACGGGGUCUCCCCGGGGUCUAACGCAGAGCUAUGAAGCGGGGACAGAGGCAGAGCGAGCUCCUUCAGGCAGGGCUGGGAUCUGAGCUCGCACAAAUCGCUCCCCAGUGGACUCGUCCCAGGUUCCUGCCCUUCCCCGUCCCUUCGCUCGGCUCCGAGAGGGAAGAACCGGAGCUGGGAGCCCGUCGGCGAUGAGCCACAUCUACAGCAGCCACCUCUCCCCCAUGGGCAGCCCCUCCAUGGUGUAUCUCCCGGCCGCCUUGAGCUUCUCCCCCAGCGGUGCCAUCUCCCGCCAGGACCCCCCGCAGAAGCCCCCUUACAGCUACAUCGCCCUCAUCGCCAUGGCCAUCAAAGAAGCUCCGGAGCAGAAGGUGACCCUCAGCGGCAUCUACCAGUUCAUCAUGGACCGUUU